GACGAACGCUGGCGGCGUGCCUAAUACAUGCAAGUAGAACGCUGAAGGAGGAGCUUGCUUCUCUGGAUGAGUUGCGAACGGGUGAGUAACGCGUAGGUAACCUGCCUGGUAGCGGGGGAUAACUAUUGGAAACGAUAGCUAAUACCGCAUAAUAGUAGAUGUUGCAUGACAUUUGCUUAAAAGGUGCAAUUGCAUCACUACCAGAUGGACCUGCGUUGUAUUAGCUAGUUGGUGAGGUAACGGCUCACCAAGGCAACGAUACAUAGCCGACCUGAGAGGGUGAUCGGCCACACUGGGACUGAGACACGGCCCAGACUCCUACGGGAGGCAGCAGUAGGGAAUCUUCGGCAAUGGACGGAAGUCUGACCGAGCAACGCCGCGUGAGUGAAGAAGGUUUUCGGAUCGUAAAGCUCUGCUGUAAGAGAAGAACGAGUGUGAGAGUGGAAAGUUCACACUGUGACGGUAUCUUACCAGAAAGGGACGGCUAACUACGUG
This 495-nucleotide ribosomal RNA is filed under the name uncultured bacterium. Its description in RNAcentral is "partial 16S ribosomal RNA". It matches the Rfam family "Bacterial small subunit ribosomal RNA", at positions 28 to 507 of the family's 1533-position model. The record is from RNAcentral.